UGUAUGCAGCUACCUAUCCAACUUUUGGACCGGUUCGAUCAAUAUAUUUGUUAUUAAUUACACAUAAAGAAAAGACUAUCUUUAACUUCGUUCGUUUGGAACAAGAGUUUGUAGAGAAUCUCUCGAUGAUGGCAAACAGUUGUGUUUCAAUGGACAAUAAUAAUAUCCUGGGUCUUCUCAAGCUUCGAAUUAAAAGAGGCGUUAAUCUUGCAAUUCGCGAUGCUCGUACCAGCGAUCCGUAUGUCGUCGUCAACAUGGGUGAUCAGAAGCUGAAGACUCGUGUCGUAAAAAACAACUGCAACCCUGACUGGAAUGAAGAAUUGACCCUUUCUGUAAAGGACGUUAAAACCCCAAUACAUCUGACGGUUUAUGACAAAGACACUUUCUCUGUUGAUGACAAAAUGGGUGAGGCAGAGAUAGACUUAAAACCAUAUGUUCAGUGUAAGCAGAUGGGAUUGGGCAAGCUCCCAAAUGGUUGUUCACUCAAGAGAAUUCAACCAGAUAGAACUAAUUACCUUGCUGAAGAGAGCAGCUGCAUUUGGCAAAAUGGAAAGAUUGUCCAAGAAAUGUUUUUGAGAUUGAGAAAUGUUGAGAGUGGAGAAAUACUUGUGGAAAUUGAGUGGGUUGAUGUUGUUGGUUGCAAGGGCUUAUCAGAGGUAGAACUUUAAGUGUGCUUCCAUCCUUGAGGUUAUAUGAAGCAUUAAAAGCUUAGAUGCCAGCUCCAGCAUAAUGUAGUGUGGCAAAAUAAGAGGCACAAAGAUUAACAAGAGAGGAGGGGGAGAGGACCGUCCCCGCGAAGUUGGCACCCACCCCCACCAAUCAGAAAGUACCUUUUAUAUUUAUAAUUUUUAAUGAACAAUUAUUGUUCAUCGUGUAAUAAUAACAUAUACAAAAGGUAAGCAAAUAUAAUUUUAAGUUUAAUCAAAUUGGCAUAACACGACAUUUGGUCGGGGAGAAGUGUACUUAACUGACAUCAAGAAACAUCAAUAUAAUACUAAUUAGCUCUUUAAUUAUUAGUAUUUGGUAGCCAUUAACAUUGGAUGUUAUCUAUGUAUUAAGCAGUAGCUAGAUAUUGUUUUUUGCA
Molecule: RNA transcript, 1084 nt
Organism: Glycine soja
Lineage: Eukaryota; Viridiplantae; Streptophyta; Magnoliopsida; Fabales; Fabaceae
Gene name: protein C2-DOMAIN ABA-RELATED 9-like
Exons: 4
Source: RefSeq, a predicted model, not a curated record